AUUGAACGCUGGCGGCAUGCCUUACACAUGCAAGUCGAACGGUAACAGGUCUUCGGAUGCUGACGAGUGGCGAACGGGUGAGUAAUACAUCGGAACGUGCCUAGUAGUGGGGGAUAACUACUCGAAAGAGUGGCUAAUACCGCAUGAGAUCUACGGAUGAAAGCAGGGGAUUGCAAGACCUUGUGCUACUAGAGCGGCCGAUGGCAGAUUAGGUAGUUGGUGGGAUAAAAGCUUACCAAGCCGACGAUCUGUAGCUGGUCUAAGAGGACGAUCAGCCACACUGGGACUGAGACACGGCCCAGACUCCUACGGGAGGCAGCAGUGGGGAAUUUUGGACAAUGGGCGCAAGCCUGAUCCAGCAAUGCCGCGUGCAGGAUGAAGGCCUUCGGGUUGUAAACUGCUUUUGUACGGAACGAAAAGCCCCGGGUUAAUACCCUGGGGUCAUGACGGUACCGUAAGAAUAAGCACCGGCUAACUACGUGCCAGCCGCCGCCGUAA
Molecule: ribosomal RNA, 498 nt
Filed under: uncultured bacterium
Lineage: Bacteria
Description: partial 16S ribosomal RNA
Rfam family: Bacterial small subunit ribosomal RNA
Source: RNAcentral